GUAAGUUUCUCAACAUUCCUUGUAGUUGUCAUAAGGAGUGUAACUAUGCAAAAAAUGAGAGGGGAAAUCUAUUAAUUGACAUCAAACAAAAAUAAGAUGGAAUCUCACGUUUUGUGUUAAGUUGUACCAGCAUAAUGUAGCUUGGGGAGCUACAAAGCUUGACAAAGACCCAAUUUAGGGUCGAAAUGUUGUUGUGUUAUUCUGCUGGUUCCAAUAAACGUGCCCUUAAGCCUGGAUCUUCUUUUUCUAUAUCUACAUUCUGAUGGGCGGCUGCUGGCCCAUGAUCUAGCUACAUACCGAAUCGG
Non-coding RNA from Pelobates cultripes (western spadefoot toad), 305 nucleotides. NCBI's taxonomy places the organism in Eukaryota, Metazoa, Chordata, Amphibia, Anura, Pelobatidae. The record is from the annotation of a GenBank genome assembly.